RNAcentral lists this transfer RNA (2081 nucleotides) under Canis lupus familiaris (dog). RNAcentral's name for it is "lncRNA (ENSCAFG00030022829.1)". The record is from RNAcentral. Lineage: Eukaryota; Metazoa; Chordata; Mammalia; Carnivora; Canidae.
AGCCCAAGGCAGAUGCUCAACCGCUGAGCCACCCAGGCUUUGUUUUCAACGGCCCCCAACCUGACAUCCUACUCCUAUCAAUACUUAAAUGAAGGCAAGACAGAAACGAGUUCCUUUGCAACACACACACACACACAAAAUCAGCACAUUGGACAUAUAUUUCACUCCUUCGCUUCCGGAGGAAGGAGUCGGGAACUGAGGAUUUCCUCCCAAUCAGACCAGCCAUGCCAUGAGAUGCUGAGAAGGGUUCUGAGUUUUGGCUUCGAGGGCACCUGGGUGGCCCAGUCAACUAGAUAUAUCUGACUCGAUUUCGGCUCAAGCCAUGAUCUCAGGCUCGUGGGAUCAUGCCCUGCAUUGACUCCACACUCAGGACGGAGUCUGCUUGAGAUUCUCUGCCCAUGUCCCUCCCUCUACUCACACUCUCUCUUUCUUUCUCUUUCUCUCUCUCUCUAAAAUAAAUAAAUAAAUCUUUUUUAAAAAGAAUUUUGGCUUGAUAUUACUAGACAAUUAAAAUACAUGAGGUUCAAAAACAAACAAGCAAAAAGCAAAACAGAUUCAAAUACAGAGAAAAACUGGUGGCUGCCAGAGGAGUAGGGGAAUGGACAAAAGGGGUGAAAGGGAGGGAAAGGUACAGGCUUCCAGUUAUGGAAUGAAUAAGUCAUGGGGAUGAAAGGUACACCGUAAGGAAUAUAGUCAAUGGUAUUGUAAGAACAUUGUAUGGUGACAGAUGGUAGCUACACUUGUGAGCUUGAAAUAAUAUAUAGACUUGUUGAAUCUCUGUGGGUUUGUUGUUGUUGUUGGUUUUAAGCUUGUAUUUAUUUAAAUUAUCUCUACACCCAACACAGGGUUCAAACUUGCAACCCUGAGAUCAAGAGUCAUACGCUCUGCCAACUGAGCCAGCCAGGUGCCCCUUGAAUUGCUGUUAUUCACAUGAAACUAAUGUAACGUGUGUUAAUUAUAUUUCCAUUUUUAAAAAGAAAGAUACUUCAGGUUCAGUUUAAUCUUUUCAAACCCUGCUUUUAAAAUUUGUUACAACAGGUCUAGAUUAGCUUUUAUACUUGAGCUAGUUCAAUACUAUUCUUAAAGGGUGGCCUUUCUGAUGUGUCUAAGAAUGCUCCUAGUUUUCAGUGAAAUUCCUCCACCUUGGCUGAUCAGAAUUCAAAUGUCUGCCACUCUGAAUGAAUUCCAGUAGUUACUCAAUGUACAGCUCCUAGCAAUAUUCAGCUAAAGUCUUGUGGGGAUCCUUAUACAGGUUUCUAGAAGUUUUUCUCUGCAUACCAUCCUCCUCUUCUACUCCACAAUUCAGUCUCUGCCUCCCUAUAAUCUAUUUUUGUCUCUUUAACUCAGCAAUACAACCAUGCUCUGCCUUCCUGGAUCUCAGAUCUCAAAAGUGUGGGAAGGAAAAAAAGCUAAGGUGAUGGUAGGGCUCACUUCAAUUGUUUCCCUUCUCUCUGAAAGUAUAGUUUUGUGCUGCAUGUUUUCCAAUAGCUGAAAACAGGUAUUUCCUAUGAUUUGUCCAGUAUGUAAUUGUUUGCAUGAGGAUAGCUAGUCUGGUACCAAUUACUCCUUUUUUGUAAGAUUUUAUUUAUUUACUCAUGAGAGACACACAGAGAGGCAGAGUCAUAGGCAGAGGGAGAAGCAGGUUCCUUCUUUUUUUUUUUUAUAAAUUUAUUUUUUAUUGGUGUUCAAUUUGCCAACAUACAGAAUAACACCCAGUGCUCAUCCUGUCAAGUGCCCCCCUCAGUGCCCGUCAGGCUCCUUGCAGGGAGCCUGAUGUGGGACUCCAUCCUGGAACCCUGGGAUCAUGCCCUGAGUCAAAGGCAGAUGGCCAACCACUGAGCUACCCAGGCAUCCCCAACUACUCCUUCAUAAGUGGAAGCUGAAGACCCUUUGCCUCCUUUUUAAUUUUCUAAGCCCUUUGCUCCCCUUUAAAUUCUAUUUCACAUUCCCUGCACUCCAUUAACUUCCCUUACUCCUUCCUCUGCAAGUUCAAAAAAAUCCAUAGCUCUUCUGUGGCAGGUAUCACAUCCCUAUUGCACCACAGUUCCCUGCAGGAAGAAAGAACCUCUUCUUGACCAUCC